GCGAAAGCGAGUCUUAAUAGGGCGUCUAGUCGCUGGGAAUAGACCCGAAACCGGGCGAUCUAUCCAUGGGCAGGUUGAAGGUUAGGUAACACUGACUGGAGGACCGAACCGACUACCGUUGAAAAGUUAGCGGAUGACCUGUGGAUCGGAGUGAAAGGCUAAUCAAGCUCGGAGAUAGCUGGUUCUCCUCGAAAGCUAUUUAGGUAGCGCCUCAUGUAUCACUGUAGGGGGUAGAGCACUGUUUCGGCUAGGGGGUCAUCCCGACUUACCAAACCGAUGCAAACUCCGAAUACCUACAAGUGCCGAGCAUGGGAGACACACGGCGGGUGCUAACGUCCGUCGUGAAAAGGGAAACAACCCAGACCGUCAGCUAAGGUCCCAAAGUUAUGGUUAAGUGGGAAACGAUGUGGGAAGGCUUAGACAGCUAGGAGGUUGGCUUAGAAGCAGCCACCCUUUAAAGAAAGCGUAAUAGCUCACUAGUCGAGUCGGCCUGCGCGGAAGAUGUAACGGGGCUCAAACCAUACACCGAAGCUACGGGUAUCACGUAAGUGAUGCGGUAGAGGAGCGUUCUGUAAGCCUGUGAAGGUGAGUUGAGAAGCUUGCUGGAGGUAUCAGAAGUGCGAAUGCUGACAUGAGUAACGACAAUGGGUGUGAAAAACACCCACGCCGAAAGACCAAGGUUUCCUGCGCAACGUUAAUCGACGCAGGGUUAGUCGGUCCCUAAGGCGAGGCUGAAAAGCGUAGUCGAUGGAAAACAGGUUAAUAUUCCUGUACUUCUGGUUAUUGCGAUGGAGGGACGGAGAAGGCUAGGCCAGCUUGGCGUUGGUUGUCCAAGUUUAAGGUGGUAGGCUGAGAUCUUAGGUAAAUCCGGGAUCUUAAGGCCGAGAGCUGAUGACGAGUUACCCUUUGGGUGACGAAGUGGUUGAUGCCAUGCUUCCAAGAAAAGCUUCUAAGCUUCAGGUAACCAGGAACCGUACCCCAAACCGACACAGGUGGUUGGGUAGAGAAUACCAAGGCGCUUGAGAGAACUCGGGUGAAGGAACUAGGCAAAAUGGCACCGUAACUUCGGGAGAAGGUGCGCCGGUGAGGGUGAAGCACUUGCUGCGUAAGCCCACGCCGGUCGAAGAUACCAGGCCGCUGCGACUGUUUAUUAAAAACACAGCACUCUGCAAACACGAAAGUGGACGUAUAGGGUGUGACGCCUGCCCGGUGCCGGAAGGUUAAUUGAUGGGGUUAGCUAACGCGAAGCUCUUGAUCGAAGCCCCGGUAAACGGCGGCCGUAACUAUAACGGUCCUAAGGUAGCGAAAUUCCUUGUCGGGUAAGUUCCGACCUGCACGAAUGGCGUAACGAUGGCGGCGCUGUCUCCACCCGAGACUCAGUGAAAUUGAAAUCGCUGUGAAGAUGCAGUGUAUCCGCGGCUAGACGGAAAGACCCCGUGAACCUUUACUAUAGCUUUGCACUGGACUUUGAAUUUGCUUGUGUAGGAUAGGUGGGAGGCUUUGAAGCGUGGACGCCAGUUCGCGUGGAGCCAUCCUUGAAAUACCACCCUGGCAACUUUGAGGUUCUAACUCAGGUCCGUUAUCCGGAUCGAGGACAGUGUAUGGUGGGUAGUUUGACUGGGGCGGUCUCCUCCUAAAGAGUAACGGAGGAGUACGAAGGUGCGCUCAGACCGGUCGGAAAUCGGUCGUAGAGUAUAAAGGCAAAAGCGCGCUUGACUGCGAGACAGACACGUCGAGCAGGUACGAAAGUAGGUCUUAGUGAUCCGGUGGUUCUGUAUGGAAGGGCCAUCGCUCAACGGAUAAAAGGUACUCCGGGGAUAACAGGCUGAUACCGCCCAAGAGUUCAUAUCGACGGCGGUGUUUGGCACCUCGAUGUCGGCUCAUCACAUCCUGGGGCUGAAGCCGGUCCCAAGGGUAUGGCUGUUCGCCAUUUAAAGUGGUACGCGAGCUGGGUUUAGAACGUCGUGAGACAGUUCGGUCCCUAUCUGCCGUGGACGUUUGAGAUUUGAGAGGGGCUGCUCCUAGUACGAGAGGACCGGAGUGGACGAACCUCUGGUGUUCCGGUUGUCACGCCAGUGGCAUUGCCGGGUAGCUAUGUUCGGAAAAGAUAACCGCUGAAAGCAUCUAAGCGGGAAACUUGCCUCAAGAUGAGAUCUCACUGGGACCUUGAGUCCCCUGAAGGGCCGUCGAAGACUACGACGUUGAUAGGCAGGGUGUGUAAGCGCUGUGAGGCGUUGAGCUAACCUGUACUAAUUGCCCGUGAGGCUUGACCAU
RNAcentral lists this ribosomal RNA (2274 nucleotides) under Pseudomonas sp. JGI 0001012-A11. RNAcentral describes it as "bacterial LSU rRNA". It matches the Rfam family "Bacterial large subunit ribosomal RNA", at positions 671 to 2925 of the family's 2925-position model. Lineage: Bacteria; Pseudomonadati; Pseudomonadota; Gammaproteobacteria; Pseudomonadales; Pseudomonadaceae. The record is from RNAcentral.